GACGAACGCUGGCGGCGUGCCUAAUACAUGCAAGUUGAGCGCUGAAGGUUGGUACUUGUACCAACUGGAUGAGCAGCGAACGGGUGAGUAACGCGUGGGGAAUCUGCCUUUGAGCGGGGGACAACAUUUGGAAACGAAUGCUAAUACCGCAUAAAAACUUUAAACACAAGUUUUAAGUUUGAAAGAUGCAAUUGCAUCACUCAAAGAUGAUCCCGCGUUGUAUUAGCUAGUUGGUGAGGUAAAGGCUCACCAAGGCGAUGAUACAUAGCCGACCUGAGAGGGUGAUCGGCCACAUUGGGACUGAGACACGGCCCAAACGCCUACGGGAGGCAGCAGUAGGGAAUCUUCGGCAAUGGACGAAAGUCUGAACGAGCAACGCCGCGUGAGUGAAGAAGGGUUUCGGAUCGGAAAACUCUGUUGGUAGAGAAGAACGUUGGUGAGAGUGGAAAGCUCAUCAAGUGACGGUAACUACCCAGAAAGGGACGGCUAACUACGUG
This 497-nucleotide ribosomal RNA is filed under the name uncultured bacterium. Its description in RNAcentral is "partial 16S ribosomal RNA". It matches the Rfam family "Bacterial small subunit ribosomal RNA", at positions 28 to 507 of the family's 1533-position model. The record is from RNAcentral.